CUUCCUCUUCAUCCCCUCUACUGUGGAUCCACCACAAAAGGUUUGUAAGUGAGUUUCCAUCAUCAUAGCCAUUCAGUUUCCUGAUCUUCUCCAAAGCCCCUUCUUUGUCAUAAAUCCCUUCCAUGGCAUAUAGAAACCCCUUCCACCCUUCUCCAACUCCCUCCCUUCCCAAAGCUGGCAAUGUCCAUUUCACCAGCUCUCUCGCAAACUGCACAUCAGAGAACAGAACCUCGGUGAUGGGCAAUACAGGUAACACCUGAAUUCCAAGCCUGCACUCUCUCCACUCAGGAGGAGCAAACCAAAGUCCACCGUCCCUCUUGUUAGCCCACAGAACACCCACCACCCGGUUCUCCCUUGUGAAAUCUUCUGCUUCUGCAUAUAUUUUAUCCCCUUCUCUCACAUGCCACCACGUUUGAGCUGCCUUUAUCUCCAUUGCUGCAAGCAUUGAUCCAGUGGCUACAAGAUGGGUGUCUCCAUAGGCUAAUCCCAUCAAUGCUGCAGAAUAGUAAGCAUUCACAGCUUCACUAGUGCUCUCUUGGUUCCGCCCAUCUGCAAAUUCGGUCAGCCCACUAGCCCAAGAAUGCAAUUUCCAUAAAUCAAAACACCUCAAACGAGGAUAGUUGGAACUCGAAUGCCUCCCUAAGGUCAUAAAAUCUGCCAUUAGGGAAUAAGCUUGAGGUCUAUACUUCCUCCCCCAUGCAGGGUCAAUCUUGGCCAGCACUGCAAUUGCAUAAAGAAAAUAACCAAGAUGGAAAUGGUGAUCGUUGUACACUCCAAAACCAAAAUCUGCCCCCGAAUCCGUUGAUCCUUGUCUAGUAACAAGUCCACCCCACUUUCCUUCAUAUAAGAAACCAUUCCCACUAAAAGUCCCAUCCAACCAUGGGGUAAUCGUAUUCUUCAAGAACUUCCUAAUCACCGGUAUCACAUCAAGAAAGCACACCUCCUCUGCAAUCAAUGCCAAUCUCGCCGCCCUGGCAAUCAAUUUCCCAUAAAAAUAAGACGAUGUUGUUGAUAUAUUGGAUGAAUUCAGAUCCUCAACAUCUCUGCAAAGCGCAGAAACAAUUUCAGGAAAUGAUUCUUCCUUGACCCCUUUAAUUGAAUUCCAGGUUAUUGAGACCGGGUCUAAUUUCAAUUUCCAUGAAUCUCCAACAACACCUACAAGCUCACCAUCAAUACUGUUAAACUUGAAAUCAUCCAAAACAGCGACCUCAUCAUCAGCCGACAAAAGCCGAAGAUGUAGAGGAUGAGCCAGCAUGAGCAAGUCUCCCCAUCCCUUCUUAUCCCAUCUGUACUCUAAACAAAAGGGCUUACUCAAUUCAGCUUUCCCUGAUAUGGGAUAGCAAGAGCUGAAUCUAUCAAGGAUCGACUCGAAUCUUGGAUUGGAAUCUGGCAGUAUGGCAAUCCGAAUUAUGCCGGAAUACGCAUCAGAAGUUAUGGAAGAAAUAUCAUGGGUCAAAUUAAUCGCAGAAGAAGUGUAAAGCAGCCAAGUUUGACCGUUGUUGAGCUUAAUGGUGUACUUGGUGCGAGAACUGCUUGGUGAGAAUGAGAGAAUCGCAUGGAUCGUCGUGAUGGAAAGGGCGGUCCCACCGGAGACGGCGCAGGUGAGAAACGGGCUUCCUCGGACCAGGAAAAACCGGAGAUUCGAGGAAGGGAGGUCUAGAGUGACGCUGAGAUCACUGAAGGAAGACACAAUGUGGCGUCUCUGAGAAUCUGGGUCAGUUUUGUUGGAGGCGGAGAUGGUGAGAUCAGGAUUGAAGAUUUGGUAGAUGAAAACAGAGGUCAAGAACUGAGAUGGGUAUGAGAGGGAGAGAGAGGAGGAGGAAGAUUUGAUGAGAUAGGGAUGAAUAUACUCAGGCUGAUCACCAUGUUUGAGAACAAAGUUUUGGAAGAAGGAAUUGGUGGGAAGUGGGGCAGUAAGGAGGUCGGGAGAAAAGAAGGGGGAAGGAUCAGGUAUGACUGAGGAUUCGAUUUUUGGAAAGAGGAAGGGGGAGGAUUGUGGAAUGUGAUGGUGGUGAUGGGGUUCUGCCAUGAUUGGUGAUGAAGGAGACAGAGGAGACAAAGGAGACAAAGGAGGAGGCGGAGAAGGAGGUGGAGUUAUGGUUUUGGGGGUUUUAGGUGGUUUUGAACGUUUUUUGAAGCUCUUGCUAAUCACGAGUUUGACUUUUCUUCUGAUUUUUUUCAACAUCUCGAGGUGAUUGAUUGGUGAGCCUUGACCCAACUGUUAAAUUAUCGAAGAACGCAAAUAGAUCGAGGAUUUGUUAGGGAUUUUGAUACAGAAAACGGAGAAAAUGGAGGCAAUGGAAACGGAGAAAAUGGAGGCUGUUUGCCUCUAAUUGGAUGGAACUUUCCACCCACAUUCACAACCAGAGUGGGGUAGGUUUGGCCCUUUUGGGUGGGACUUGAAUUAAGAAUGUGAAAACAGGGAAAUGGGGGAAGUAAGAGGAAGAAGAAUGGAUUGGAAGGGAAGUUUGUGGGCUCUGCAAGUUAUGGUUUUGAUGAAUGGCAUGAUUGCAAGACAUGUUAAAUGGUUUUCAAAGGAAUAUGUGUAGGGAGGGACAAGACACUGGGGUGGUUAGGGAAUGUUUGGCAUACAAGAAAGUAAUGGGGUGAAUAUUCCUUUUUUAAGUUUUUCAGAGAAUGAGUGAAGCUUCACAACAUUUAGACAAUGGAUGCCACCUAUUUUAACCAAUGCUAAUGUUUUGAACCCUUGAUUUAUAUAACCAAACACAUCUUUCAAUUUCAGGUAUUUGAUUUUGGGUAAUUUCUCUUAUUGCAAGAAAGCCUUGCUACAAAGAAAGAAUAGCAAGAAAAGAAGAAAAAUUUUAGAAAAUGUCAACCAUCCAUGAGAAUAAUGGUGUAGUCAUUCACACAAAGUCUCAUGAGAAUUUAUAACACUUCUUGAUAUCCGUUGUCUUAUAUUUUGGGCUUAGAUUUCAAAAGAAAGAAUCAAUUGUAUUUUGGGCUUGAAAUUUCUUUGGGGUUUUGGCCCAAAUUGGGUUUUUAAAUAAGCAAUUGGGUUUGGUCCAAACUAGUUUGAGCCCAAUUAGUCCAUUAAAAAUGUUUAAAACCCUUUUCAACAAAUUUAAUUUCCAAUAUCAAAAGAUUCAAAAUCUAAUUCGAAGCUUUUGUUUUAACCUAUUUUUGAAUGAAGAACCUACCCAACUGUACCAAAUUACACUACAUAUUAUAGUUAAUACCACAUAAGCAACGCCAACAAUCACUCUAACCCCAUUAUUUCCUGCAUAAUGAGAAUUUUUUUUAUAAUUGUUCUGUGAUUUAAAAAUAGGAAAAUUAUCAAAAAAGUGGGCUAAAGAUGAUAAUGUCUAGGAAGAACUUAUGAAUUCAUAUGAAGGACAAAAUUUAUCAUAGUAUAAUUAUGUAUUUGAAUGUGAUCUUUUAUAUAUAAAUAACUUCAUGAUGAUGAUAAGGAUAGUCUAUCAAUAUUUGCAUAUAUCGGUUUCCAAAAUAUCAUUUUUCCCUUUUGAAUAAUAUUUGCAUAUAAGGAUACUCAAUCAAUAUUUGCAUAUAAAUAACUUCAUGAUGAAUUCAUAUUAUUUUUUCUUUGACCUAUAUAUAUAUAUAUAUAUAGGUCAAAGAAAAAAUAAUAAAAUAUUAAAAUAAAAAAUUAUAUAUUUUUUUUGUUAUUUUCAUUAUAAUAAAUUAAAUUAUUUGAAAUAUACUUUUUUUUUUCAAGUUCUUUUUUUUUCUUCAAAAAACUUGAGAUUUUUUAGAGAAUCCGGUAAAAAAAAUUAAUUUUCAAUCUCUCCUAAAUAAAAAUCACGCCCUAAGGUUAUUAUGUCAUUAUAUAUAUAAUUAAAAGUUUUAUUAUUCUAAUAGAAUAAACAAUGAUUUUUCACGAGUACUCAUCAAUUGAAAAAUAUUCAACUAUUUGUUUGGUAAUAUAGCAUGUGAAUUUUUUUUUAAAAUAAAUUAAAUUAUGUUAUAAUGUAUUAUUACAUUAGUGUAUUUGUAUUAUAAGUAUACUGCAUUUAUGUUGUACCUAUAUUUUAUGACAAAAGUAAUGAUUCUAAAAAUACCUAUUCAUACCCUAUUGUAUCUUAUAUAAAAGUUAUUAGUAUUUUCUCAUUUAAAAAAAAAAAGUAUAUCCAAAUUAUAAAUCUAACCUCUAUUUUUAAAUUAAUUUCAAGGUAAAAAGAUGAAAAGAAUGUUAAGUACAACGUAUGUCUUCAACCAAGAUAAAGGAAAGGAUCAAUUAUGUGUAAAAGAGAGACUCAAAUAAAGUAGAAGAGUUCAAGUAAAGGUGUGAGCAAGUCUUACGCAUGAGAGAUUGGAAAUAAAUAUUAUGGAGAGAGUUAGAGAACGCACAACCAUAAGAGAUAAGAAAUAAAUAUUAUGGAGAGAGUUAGAGAGCGCACAACCAUGAGAGAGAAGGUUUGAAGCCUUGUUGUCAAGUUCAAAGGGAAAUUGGAACUCAAACUAAUGCAUCAACACUAACCCUAACUUUGAGUUUAAUUCUAGGUAGACUCCUAUGAGUUUUAUGAUAAAUCGCACAUAUAGUUUGGAAGCUUUUAAAAGUCAGAAAUCCAACUCUUUAAAUUAUUUGUAAAUCAAAGUUAAAACAAAGAAGAUAUGAUAAACCCAAUUGAAUUACAUGGAAAAAAAAUAGUCUAAUUUAAAAAUUACAAAUUAAGCUCUAAAUAGUGUUCAAUCAUUUGGACCUCAAAGGCAAUACGACAAAGAAAAAGGCACCGGUGAAAUUUGAAACCCAACAUUCAUUUUGAAUAUAGGGACACUAUUUUAAACCCAAAACACGGAGGAAACAAAAUAAGUAUUGGUUGAGUUUGAAAUAAUCGGUAGAUUUCAAACUCAACUAGUUAAUUUUGUACUAAACCAUUUUAGAGACUUAGGCCACUUAUGAGUAUGAGAAAGCAAAACAUUAUUGAGAUUUUGCUAUUUUUUAUCUUAAAAAAGGUUGAAUAGUUCUAAAAUGAUCAUAGCUACCUUUUAGGUAGAUAAAUAACAAGAGUGGCUAUAAAGACUUUGUAGGCAAAAGGAGCAACAAGGGUGUUUUGGUAUUUUCCACAAACUUAUAUUUGUGUGUAUAUGUUAAGGUUAUUAUUAUUAUUAUUAUUAUUAUUCACUUGAAAGUCCUAAACUUUAUUGUUUAAUGAUCUAAUUUUAUUAGAAGUUUGUUCUUUCUUAGGUUCCAAUUUGGGUGGUUCAACUCAAAUCUAACUAACCCAAUUUUGCAUGGACUUAGGUGAUUUAAUUUGUAAAUUAGGUUUGGCUUGGUCAAAAAAUAUCAACCUAGAUUAAAUUUAGGUUGGGCUUGGGUAAGGGUCUCAAGAAACCUCAACCUAGCACAAACCCAAUUGUAUAUUUGUAUAAAAUUUAAAUUAUAAAUUUUUAUGUAUGUAUUGUAUGUAUGUAUAUAUAUUAUUUCAUGGUAUUGUACUGAGAAUCUUUUUGGUAAUGCUUUCAAAAAUUAUUUCUAGCUUAAAAAGUCAUUUUUGAAAAAAUGAUCAGACAAAAUUUAAAAAAUACUUUUAUAAAGUUAAAAAAUCACUUGUAGUGUAAACGACCUGAACAGUUGGAGAAAAGAAACUUAGCAUUUCACAUGAUGCUGAAGCAGAUGUGGAAUAGUUGUUCUUCAGUUUCAGCUAAGAAAUUGAGAAGACAGGGCAAUAUGCAUAAAUCAAUCCAGUCAUGGCUGCCCAAAGGAAAGAUUCAUCCAAUCUUCGGGCAUAAUUUAUUCGACUACAUCCCGAAUGUAAGGCAAAGAAUUUCACUGAUAAUACUGGCCAAACCAGGAUAAUUUUCCUCCUUCAAGUCCCCCUUCCCCUUCAUCUCCUCUGCUGUGAAUCCACCACAAAAGGUUCGUAAGUGAGUUUCCAUCAUCAUAACCACUCAGUUUCCCGAUCUUCUCCAAUGCCACUUCUUUGUCAUAAAUCCCUUCCAUGGCAUAUAGAAACCCCUUCCACCCUUCUCCAACUCCCUCCCGUCCCAAAGCUGGCAAUGUCCAUUUCACCAGCUCUCUCACAAACCCCACAUCGGAGAACAGAACCUCGGUGAUGGGCAAUACAGGUAACACCUGAAUUCCAAGCCUGCACUCUCUCCACUCAGGAGGAGCAAACCAAAGUCCACCGUCCCUCUUGUUAGCCCACAGAAUACCCACCACCCUGUUCUCCCUUGUGAAAUCUUCUGCAUACAUUUUAUCCCCUUCUCUCAC
This 6190-nucleotide long non-coding RNA is filed under the name Vitis vinifera (wine grape). RNAcentral's name for it is "long non-coding RNA (VVIN_LNC004770)". Lineage: Eukaryota; Viridiplantae; Streptophyta; Magnoliopsida; Vitales; Vitaceae. The record is from RNAcentral.